UUCCGCACGUAAUUAAUUAAAUAAACACCCUGAAGGGGAAGUGCCAAUAUUAGCUCAGGCUAAACUAAACAUCAACCAUAUGAAGGGAUAAAAACUAAAGCAAGAAGACAAGGAGAAGUAAAAACAUUGAGCAAGAUUAAGCCCACAGGUGCAACGCUGUUCUGCUGCGAUGCUCCAGAAAUGUUAUGUGGACUACUAAUCUUCACCCGACUUUCUACUCAGCAUGGGGCGCAGGAUGGGAUGUUUGCCACCUCCUGCAGGAUGACUGCACUUCCUGUCCUGUGCCUGCCUCAGCAGUCUAAGAACAGGAUCACUGCCAAGAGCCGGCCUAUCAGAUACUCAGUCUGCUAAGAACACCAAAGGACACCUCUGAGGAAUAUCAUGUAAUCAUCCAGAUCAGUGAUGAUCAUCAAGAGGGGAAGGAGAGAUACCCAGGAUGUGCAGCUGUGCUCAUUUCCUUAAUGACAUUUAUAGAUUUAUUUGCUAAUAUUUACCAUCGUUCCCUCAUAUUUGAUUUUUCUUGCUGAUCUUUUCUGCACCUGUGUUAGUUCAGGAUGUCUUCUUCUGCAAAAUGUACAUCACUACUGACAUCUUGUGUGUAGCAGCUGUAAUUACACAGACUCUUCUGUUUGAUAAGAUGCCAACAUGUAAACAAAAAACCCACUAUUCACUCCCUGGAGAAACAUGAUUAUCCAUCAGCUUCCACCCCAGAUGAGAAACGAUAUUCACAAGAACUUGCUGACCCCUGAAAACUCUUGUAAACAACUGGUUUGGCUGGACUGUAAGAGCGCCUCAGUCCCAGUUGGCUAUAAUGUAUUUUGUCAUGGAUCAGGGGUCAGUUUGCAGUGGCUCCAAGUGGCUUUGACUAAAAUUACAUGGAAGUGAACAGGCCUUAUGGUAAACAUUGUUGUUGCUGUAGGACUUAGAGUGAUUCUUACAUUCUCCUGAUGUUCUGUCUGCUCCAGCAAGUUGUGAUUAUGUCAGUGAACUGAACGUGCCUGAAAUAAUAUCAUUGUGGUUAAGUUCAGGUUUGUAAUUUGUAAACAUUUUUCUUUAUUGCAGGCUAGUUUUACAGUUUCACAACUGCACCAAAACACAGUAUUAUUGUAAUGAACAUGUAGUAAUCAUGAGUGGCCCACUGCAGAGAAGCCACAUGUAAAGGCUCAUUUAGACAUUAUAGGCUGCAUCACCAUGAGGCUCAAAUGUGUUUUAAUCUUAGCCAUGGAAUCUCUGUCAAAACCUCAAAUACAAGAUGUAACUAAUAUGUUGCUCACUGACAGAUACAGGUCGCGCAUUAAGAUGUUUGGGUUUGUGGGUCUAAAGAGAACAGAAAAAAAUAUUACACUCUCUGUCUUCACACACACACGCACACACACACACACACACAUACACACACACACACACACACACACACACACACACAAACACAUGUAUAUAUAU
Long non-coding RNA from Acanthopagrus latus (yellowfin seabream), 1440 nucleotides. RefSeq lists it as uncharacterized. The transcript has 3 exons. The record is from RefSeq and is a predicted model, not a curated record. Lineage: Eukaryota; Metazoa; Chordata; Actinopteri; Spariformes; Sparidae.